RNAcentral lists this ribosomal RNA (301 nucleotides) under uncultured bacterium. RNAcentral's name for it is "partial 16S ribosomal RNA". It matches the Rfam family "Bacterial small subunit ribosomal RNA", at positions 509 to 807 of the family's 1533-position model. The record is from RNAcentral.
CAGCCGCCGCGGGAAUACGGAGGGUGCAAGCGUUAAUCGGAAUUACUGGGCGUAAAGCGUGCGUAGGCGGUUCGUUAAGUCUGUUGUGAAAGCCCCGGGCUCAACCUGGGAAUGGCAAUGGAUACUGGCGAGCUAGAGUGUGUCAGAGGAUGGUGGAAUUCCCGGUGUAGCGGUGAAAUGCGUAGAGAUCGGGAGGAACAUCAGUGGCGAAGGCGGCCAUCUGGGACAACACUGACGCUGAGGCACGAAAGCGUGGGGAGCAAACAGGAUUAGAUACCCGCGUAGUCCCUGUCUCUUAUAC